Molecule: unclassified non-coding RNA, 229 nt
Filed under: plant metagenome
Description: partial contains small subunit ribosomal RNA and internal transcribed spacer 1
Rfam family: Eukaryotic small subunit ribosomal RNA (bases 1-55)
Source: RNAcentral
GGAAGUAAAAGUCGUUAACAAGGUUUCCGUAGGUGAACCUGCGGAAGGAUCAUUCAUAAUAAGUGUUUUACUGCACUUUUUAAAAAUAGUACUCACCUUGUGUGCAAUGUUGUGUUUCUUUUCGGAGAAACACCUACACCAACCUAUAACCUCGAACCACUUUGUCUGAAAAACUAUUAUGAAUACUUAAUUCAAAAUACAACUUUCAACAACGGAUCCCUUGGCUCUC